AAUUAUUUUUUAAAGCAAGUGCUUGAUUCAAUCAAUUCAAUGCACUGGCUCUCCUAUAUUAGAAAAUUUGUAUUUGUCUGAAUAAACUUAUCUUUAAAUCACAAAGUCUUGGCCUUCUUGUUUAUUUAUUUUUAAAACCAGUGCAUAUCUGAGAUCUUUUACCAUGUUGUUGGUGAUAAUUUUAGUGGGUGCAGCGCACCAGCAUGGCACAUGUAUACAUAUGUAACUAACCUGCACAAUGUGCACAUGUACCCUAAAACUUAAAGUAUAAUAAAAAAAAACAAAAAACAAAACAAAACAAAAAAAAAACAAAAAAACUCUGAAAGAGAGCUGCUAAUAUUUGACUGUGCUUGUGAAUUGUGGGGUAUGGAGAAUGAGGGGAAGAAAGUCAUUAAACUGAAGAUUUUUAUUCUGUGGGAAAGUGACCCCCAAACACAGAAGGAGUCUAGAAACCUAAUAAUUAGUUAGAAAAAUUGUUUGUUGACAAAGGGUGAUUUAUUGGGGGAAUUUACAGACAGAAGCAUGGUCUUGGACAGUA
Molecule: long non-coding RNA, 538 nt
Filed under: Homo sapiens (human)
Lineage: Eukaryota; Metazoa; Chordata; Mammalia; Primates; Hominidae
Description: non-protein coding lnc-MEI4-11:1
Source: RNAcentral